Molecule: ribosomal RNA, 465 nt
Filed under: uncultured bacterium
Lineage: Bacteria
Description: partial 16S ribosomal RNA
Rfam family: Bacterial small subunit ribosomal RNA
Source: RNAcentral
CCUACGGGAGGCUGCAGUGGGGAAUAUUGCGCAAUGGGCGAAAGCCUGACGCAGCGACGCCGCGUGAGGGAUGAAGGUCUUCGGAUCGUAAACCUCUGUCAGCAGGGAAGAACGGUCACUGUGCUAAUCAGCAGUGAAUUGACGGUACCUGCAAAGGAAGCACCGGCUAACUCCGUGCCAGCAGCCGCGGUAAUACGGAGGGUGCGAGCGUUAAUCGGAAUUACUGGGCGUAAAGCGCUCGUAGGCGGUAUGUCAAGUCAAGGGUGAAAGCCCCGCGCUCAACGUGGGAACUGCAUUUGAAACUGGCAAACUGGAGUGUGUGAGAGGAUAGUGGAAGUCCAGGUGUAGGAGUGAAAUCCGUAGAUAUCUGGAGGAACAUCAGUGGCGAAGGCGACUAUCUGGCACAUAACUGAUGCUGAGGAGCGAAAGCGUGGGUAGCAAACAGGAUUAGAUACCCGUGUAGUC